This 370-nucleotide ribosomal RNA is filed under the name uncultured organism. RNAcentral's name for it is "bacterial SSU rRNA". It matches the Rfam family "Bacterial small subunit ribosomal RNA", at positions 526 to 896 of the family's 1533-position model. The record is from RNAcentral.
CGUAGGGUGCGAGCGUUAAUCGGAAUUACUGGGCGUAAAGCGUGCGCAGGCGGCUUUGCAAGACAGAUGUGAAAUCCCCGGGCUUAACCUGGGAACUGCAUUUGUGACUGCAUGGCUGGAGUGCGGCAGAGGGGGAUGGAAUUCCGCGUGUAGCAGUGAAAUGCGUAGAUAUGCGGAGGAACACCGAUGGCGAAGGCAAUCCCCUGGGCCUGCACUGACGCUCAUGCACGAAAGCGUGGGGAGCAAACAGGAUUAGAUACCCUGGUAGUCCACGCCCUAAACGAUGUCAACUGGUUGUUGGACGGCUUGCUGUUCAGUAACGAAGCUAACGCGUGAAGUUGACCGCCUGGGGAGUACGGCCGCAAGGUUG